RNAcentral lists this ribosomal RNA (240 nucleotides) under uncultured microorganism. Its description in RNAcentral is "partial 16S ribosomal RNA". It matches the Rfam family "Bacterial small subunit ribosomal RNA", at positions 9 to 250 of the family's 1533-position model. The record is from RNAcentral.
GUAGUUUGAUCGUGGCUCAGAUUGAACGCUGGCGGCAGGCCUAACACAUGCAAGUCGAGCGGAUGAAGGGAGCUUGCUCCUGGAUUCAGCGGCGGACGGGUGAGUAAUGCCUAGGAAUCUGCCUGGUAGUGGGGGAUAACGUCCGGAAACGGGCGCUAAUACCGCAUACGUCCUGAGGGAGAAAGUGGGGGAUCUUCGGACCUCACGCUAUCAGAUGAGCCUAGGUCGGAUUAGCUAGUU